This 253-nucleotide ribosomal RNA is filed under the name uncultured bacterium. RNAcentral's name for it is "partial 16S ribosomal RNA". It matches the Rfam family "Bacterial small subunit ribosomal RNA", at positions 524 to 776 of the family's 1533-position model. The record is from RNAcentral.
UACGGAGGUGGCAAGCGUUGUCCGGAUUUACUGGGCGUAAAGGGCGCGUAGGCGGCUUUUCAAGUGACGGGUGAAAUCCCUCGGCUUAACCGAGGAACUGCCUGUCAGACUGGAAGGCUUGAGACCGGGAGAGGUGAGUGGAAUUCCCAGUGUAGCGGUGAAAUGCGUAGAUAUUGGGAGGAACACCAGUGGCGAAGGCGGCUCACUGGACCGGAACUGACGCUGAGGCGCGAAAGCGUGGGGAGCAAACAGG